Molecule: ribosomal RNA, 414 nt
Filed under: uncultured microorganism
Description: bacterial SSU rRNA
Rfam family: Archaeal small subunit ribosomal RNA
Source: RNAcentral
CAGCAGCCGCGGUAAUACCGGCGGCCCGAGUGGCGGUCACUAUUAUUGGGCUUAAAGCGUCCGUAGCCGGGUUGGGAAGUCCUCCGGGAAAUCUGGCCGCUUAACGGUCAGAAUGCCGGAGGAUACUCCCAGCCUAGGGAGCGGGAGAGGCCGAGGGUAUUCCCGGAGUAGGGGUGAAAUCCUAUAAUCCCGGGAGGACCACCUGUGGCGAAGGGGCUCGGCUGGAACGCGUCCGACGGUGAGGGACGAAGGCCAGGGGAGCAAAUCGGAUUAGAUACCCGGGUAGUCCUGGCUGUAAACGAUGCGGACUUUGUGUCGGACAAGCUAUGAGCUUGUCCGGUGCCGGAGGGAAACCGUUAAGUCCGCCGCCUGGGGAGUACGGCCGCAAGGCUGAAACUUAAAGGAAUUGGCGGG